Molecule: long non-coding RNA, 1911 nt
Organism: Heterocephalus glaber (naked mole-rat)
Lineage: Eukaryota; Metazoa; Chordata; Mammalia; Rodentia; Bathyergidae
Source: RefSeq, a predicted model, not a curated record
UUGUAGCUCAGUGUGAAGGCCUUGGCUUCAAUCCUAUCACCACCAAAAGGGAAGAAGGUGGACGCACACGCCAAAAAGUUAAAAGUUCCUGGUCUGUAACUCUACAGUUUUCCGCUGAAGUAUUGGUUCUCGCCAGACAUUAGCCUACUUGUGCUGGAGUGACCUGAAAGGGGGCUGACCAAAAAGGAGAUGGAAACUAGCAGGAAGGACAAAAUUGCUUUGAAGAUUCAGUGUUUUGCAUUGAUAAAUUUUUUUUUUUAAUAAAGGGCCAUGUGAAUUUUGCAAUGUGCUUCGUAAUUUAUCCGUGCUUGUUUACAUUUUGAGUUUAUUUUUUCUUUGACCUCAUAUUUACUCCUUAUUCAUCCAAGCAUUUUUCCUUAUAAUGGGCAAUUACCUAUUUGGGAAUUUGGGCGGCUUUGUUUUAUCAUUGUACCUCCCAAACAAAACUAAGUUCCAUGAAGAAUAAAACAUUCUGAAGUAUUUAUCAAUGUAUUUUAAGAAUAUAAAAUACUAAGCUUAUAUUUACAAUCAUAAAAGAUAAGAGAAGGCUGGAGAGAAUAAUUAUAAACUAGAUACCAUAAAGAUACAGAAAUAGUUAACAUCAACCAGAUUGAGUUCUGAAAGCUGGGAAGUCCCAGAUUCCGGUGCUGGCAGAUCUGGUGUCUGGGAUUGAACUCAGGACCUUGCACUUGCGAGGCAGCGGGCAGCAACACUAAGCUAAAUUCUGACCCAGAAAGCAUCUUGGUCUGUGGCAUUUAUGUUGUUACAGGUACCAUCCUAGGAAUAAAAGAAGAAGUAGUAUUUCAAGAGAAACCACAGACAAGAUUGCAGCAAUAAGGAGAAAUCACAUGACAGGAAAGAAUUUGGCAGCAGUUUUCAUGGCUUUGAGAUUGGACAUAAAAUACAAUUAUUCUCCUUAAAUAUAACUAGAUUAUGUCAAACCUUGAGAAAGCCUAACCCCAUGAAUGGGCAAAGCAAAUGCUAAACACUUUAAAUGGAUGUUUAAAAUGAUAGCCUCAAAAGCUUGAGGGCUCUGAAACAUACAUGUGGAAAUACACAAGUUAUAUUACAUUGAUUAUAUUAGAAUUACAAGUAUACCACAAUAUAUAUUAUAAUUAUCCUAAAUUAAUCUUAGUAAAAUUUUAUUGUCUUGAAAAUUAAAAACAUCAAAGGUGUCUAAAGGGAGGAGCAACUCUUUUCACUUAAAAAAAUCUGCAAAUUUUGACCAAAAGUAUAUAAAAGAUGACCUUAAAUUUUAAAAGGAAAUCUUACUGAUCAUCAAAGAAAUGUAAAUUAAACCUAUAAGAUAUCACAUCACAUCUGUUAGAAUAGCUAUUAUCAAAAAGGAAAAAAAUAACAAGAGUUAGCAAGGAUGUGGAGAAAAGAGAACCUUGCAUUUCUGUUGGCAGGAGUGAAAUUAGACAGUCAUUAUAGAAAAUGGCAUGAAAGUUCCUCAAAACACUGAAAACAGAACUACUAUAUGAUCCAGCAAUCUCUUUGGUGGGUAACAGAUACCCAAAGGAAAUGAAAUAAAUAUAGCAAAGAGAUAUCUCCAUUCCCACGUUGAUUGCAGCACUAGUCACAAUAGCCAAGAUGAAUAGUCUGAGCGUCCAUCAACAAGUAAAUGGAUUUUUAAAUAUGACACAGCCUAAUACUGUUUAUUCUUUAUAAAGAAGAAAACCUUGUCACUUGCAAAAGCGUGAAUGAACCGGAGGACAUAUGCUAAGGGACAUAUGUCAGGCACAGAAUGACAAAUACCACAUGAUCUCAUUUACAAGUAUACUAUAAAAAAAUUGCCUCAGAGAAACAGAGAAGAAUGGUGAUUACCAAAGGCUGAGGAUGAAGGUGAAAGAGUUUUGGGCAGAUGCUGGUCAAAGGACACAAAAUUUCACUUAGAAAAAUAAAUUUAGC